Molecule: non-coding RNA, 76 nt
Filed under: Pedobacter suwonensis
Lineage: Bacteria; Pseudomonadati; Bacteroidota; Sphingobacteriia; Sphingobacteriales; Sphingobacteriaceae
Source: RNAcentral
UCCUAAACCCGAUAGCAGCGGAAAACACGAAGGUGAGGAACGAGCCGAGGCUUUGAAGCGGAUAGCGGGACUAACA